Molecule: ribosomal RNA, 429 nt
Filed under: Chloroflexota bacterium
Lineage: Bacteria; Bacillati; Chloroflexota
Description: Chloroflexi bacterium partial 16S ribosomal RNA
Rfam family: Bacterial small subunit ribosomal RNA
Source: RNAcentral
UGGGGAAUAUUGCACAAUGGGCGCAAGCCUGAUGCAGCCAUGCCGCGUGUAUGAAGAAGGCCUUCGGGUUGUAAAGUACUUUCAGCGGGGAGGAAGGGAGUAAAGUUAAUACCUUUGCUCAUUGACGUUACCCGCAGAAGAAGCACCGGCUAACUCCGUGCCAGCAGCCGCGGUAAUACGGAGGGUGCAAGCGUUAAUCGGAAUUACUGGGCGUAAAGCGCACGCAGGCGGUUUGUUAAGUCAGAUGUGAAAUCCUCGGGCUCAACCUGGGAACUGCAUCUGAGACUGGCAAGAUUGAGUCUCGUAGAGGGGGGUAGAAUUCCAGGUGUAGCGGUGAAAUGCGUAGAGAUCUGGAGGAAUACCGGUGGCGAAGGCGGCCCCCUGGACGAAGACUGACGCUCAGGUGCGAAAGCGUGGGGAGCAAACAGG